UUGACUCAAAGAAGAUUGAGGGCAAGCUGGCUACUCAACCUGCUGAAUGGGCUGGUUUCUAACUUAUUUGGUGAGGUUGUAUCAUCCUGGGCACUUCUGGCAAUAAGAGAUGAGAAUAGGUAAAAAAGCAAAACAAAAAGGGAUUCAUGGCUUUCUGGGCAUGAUUAUGCUUGUAAGUAUUGAGUGUUUGCCUUAUGCAAUAGAAUACAACAUCUGCAUAAGUUCCCUGGUUUCCAUGGACUACUUACAAACUUGUACUGUUCUAAAUGCCUCGAUUUUCAGGUCGGAAAAAUAAUAAUUUCUUUUAAUAUUGUCCUGUCUGUGACCUUAUCCUUCUAUUUUGCCAUCUAUUUUUGUUUAAUCUAUGAACUUCUUGUAUCAUAUUUCAUUUGCAUUUGUUACAUGCAUAAAUCUCUUUAUUAGAUAGUUGUUGUACUUGUUUCUGUGCCAAUUUUGAUGGUCUUGAGCCCAAACAACACCCACUGUCUCUUAAGACUAUAAAUGGUCAUCGUAACAUUUUAUUUGGUAUUGAAGUGGUGUCAGGUAGAGGGGUGGAUUCUUCAUCCAGGUUUUAUGUUACUGCUUUUAGAAAAUUAUUAGUCAAAUGAGUUUUUGGACUGUCUUUAGCUAUUUUGGACUGUCUAAAUGCAUUAGCUGGACAAUCGAAUGGUGGUUACUUAUCUAACAGAUGUUGUUUUACUAGACCAUGGAAUGAAAGAAAACUCAAUCCUCUCAUCCGUAAUUCAGAACCAUCUAAAGCCUGGCCAUGGAAUAAGCUCAAGCCUUUCUGUACAGAGCAGCUGGACUCUCUCAAAUUUUUUAUUUGUAAAUAUCCAAAGGUGACUUUUCCCAGUGGAGGAAUUGGAGAGGGGAGAUUCCUGGGUGCUGAACUAUUGAUGUUCAUUGCUCUGUUCAAGAAGAACAAGAAACUAUUGAACCCCAGCAUUGAGCUGAUGCUUCAUAACGUGUUAUUAUAAGAGACAUAGGCUGCCCGAGUUGUCUGAAUAUACCCCAUAGUCCCUCUGAUGCCUGUGAGUGUUCUAGUCUGGUUGCUUAUCAGAAGCUUUCCCAGUCCAAGUUUGCAACUUUGGCUGUAAAAGAAUCAUCCAAGAGUUGUGUUCUGAGGGCUUUCGGGCGCCUCCAGAAAGGAAGCUUGAUAAAGAGCCAUUGUGCAUAAAAAAAAAACACCAGUAGUCAGUGUUCACCCUCACAACAGUAACGCAGCAAGUGUCCUUGAUUCUUAUGGUGAGUUUGGCCCAUCACAUUCACUUCUGCUUUGAAUUCUUUCUCAUCUUCUCCCACCACCUUCUCCAACUUUUCAGCAACAGAAUUUCCAGAACCUGAUGGUAAUAUCCCUUUAUAGACAGUGCCAAAGGCUUCUACCAUCGCUUGUACUCAGGAUUCUGUGAUAAAGCUGCAGAUUUUUGAGGUUCAAGCAGUAGAAAACUAGUGAAAUUGCAGCUAGAGAAACGAAGAAGAAGAACGCAGAGGGGCCUAAGAGGACUGAGAGUAUUAGAAUUGCUUUAUUUUGCUUGCAUCUGCCUGAAGUUAGUUCACUGGACUUCAAUAUCUUGAUUAGAGCACUUCUGGAAACAGCAGUUUGAUCCAACCUCCCAUUUGAAAGAGGUAGUCUUUUCCUCCAACAGCUUCCAGUUCCAUUUGCAAACCUCAGGUCCUCAAAAAUAGCAACUGCACAGUAGGCUCCAACACCAAUCCCUGGAUUGGCAAUAUGGUAUUAGUUGGGUGCUUGAAGCUCUCCCAUAUACUGGUAUACAAUUUCCAUCUCCAAGCAUGGCACCAUGCACUGGUUCGCUGCUCACAUUACCAGUCUUUGUCUUCCAUAUAUCUUAGCCUCUAGAGAACAAGCUGUCCAUUGGUGGUAAGCCCAAACUUUUGAUCCUCUUGGCACCAGUUAACUUCCAUUUGCAGUCCAGAUAGCAAGAAGGAAUAGGUCCUCUUCACUUGGAGAGGGUCGGAAUCCAAAUGCAAAAUCACCAGAAAGGCAAAGCCCAUGUGGAGUUUUCAUCAGUGGCAUAGAGAGAUGAACCCAAGCUUAUAUUACCAUAAGCUUGGCUGAUGAGUAACAAGUAGGGGUAGAGAGACAAUGUAUGUAAGUUAUUAUUCACUGCUUUUCUCUGCAUGUUGAUUAAGUUGAAAGAGACUAGCGAAUAUUAUUUUCUUCUAUAAUUGAACAUUCUCUUGUAAUUGAAUAGUGUGAAAGCAAUUUUUUUUUUCUUCUUCAACAAAUGAAUAUUGAGAGCA
Molecule: RNA transcript, 2262 nt
Organism: Vitis vinifera (wine grape)
Lineage: Eukaryota; Viridiplantae; Streptophyta; Magnoliopsida; Vitales; Vitaceae
Exons: 4
Source: RefSeq, a predicted model, not a curated record